RNAcentral lists this ribosomal RNA (985 nucleotides) under human gut metagenome. RNAcentral's name for it is "bacterial SSU rRNA". It matches the Rfam family "Bacterial small subunit ribosomal RNA", at positions 366 to 1369 of the family's 1533-position model. The record is from RNAcentral.
GCACAAUGGGGGAAACCCUGAUGCAGCAACGCCGCGUGAAGGAUGACGGUUUUCGGAUUGUAAACUUCUUUUCUUAGUGACGAAGACAGUGACGGUAGCUAAGGAAUAAGCAUCGGCUAACUACGUGCCAGCAGCCGCGGUAAUACGUAGGAUGCAAGCGUUAUCCGGAUUUACUGGGUGUAAAGGGAGCGCAGGCGGGACUGCAAGUUGGAUGUGAAAUACCGUGGCUUAACCACGGAACUGCAUCCAAAACUGUAGUUCUUGAGUGAAGUAGAGGCAAGCGGAAUUCCGAGUGUAGCGGUGAAAUGCGUAGAUAUUCGGAGGAACACCAGUGGCGAAGGCGGCUUGCUGGGCUUUAACUGACGCUGAGGCUCGAAAGUGUGGGGAGCAAACAGGAUUAGAUACCCUGGUAGUCCACACUGUAAACGAUGAUAGCUAGGUGUGGGGGGUCUGACCCCUUCCGUGCCGGAGUUAACGCAAUAAGCUAUCCACCUGGGGAGUACGACCGCAAGGUUGAAACUCAAAGGAAUUGACGGGGGCCCGCACAAGCAGUGGAUUAUGUGGUUUAAUUCGAAGCAACGCGAAGAACCUUACCAGGUCUUGACAUCCGACUAACGAGAUAGAGAUAUGUCAGGUGCCCUUCGGGGAAAGUCGAGACAGGUGGUGCAUGGUUGUCGUCAGCUCGUGUCGUGAGAUGUUGGGUUAAGUCCCGCAACGAGCGCAACCCCUGCCAUUAGUUGCUACGCAAGAGCACUCUAAUGGGACCGCUACCGACAAGGUGGAGGAAGGUGGGGACGACGUCAAAUCAUCAUGCCCCUUAUGACCUGGGCUACACACGUAAUACAAUGGCCGUUAACAGAGGGAAGCAAAGCGGUGACGCAGAGCAAAACCCUAAAAACGGUCCCAGUUCGGACUGUAGGCUGCAACCCGCCUACACGAAGUUGGAAUUGCUAGUAAUCGCGGAUCAGCAUGCCGCGGUGAAUAC